GACGAACGCUGGCGGCGUGCCUAAUACAUGCAAGUAGAACGCUGAAGGAGGAGCUUGCUCUUCUGGAUGAGUUGCGAACGGGUGAGUAACGCGUAGGUAACCUGCCUGGUAGCGGGGGAUAACUAUUGGAAACGAUAGCUAAUACCGCAUAAGAGUAGAUGUUGCAUGACAUUUACUUAAAAGGUGCAAUUGCAUCACUACCAGAUGGACCUGCGUUGUAUUAGCUAGUUGGUGGGGUAACGGCUUACCAAGGCGACGAUACAUAGCCGACCUGAGAGGGUGAUCGGCCACACUGGGACUGAGACACGGCCCAGACUCCUACGGGAGGCAGCAGUAGGGAAUCUUCGGCAAUGGACGGAAGUCUGACCGAGCAACGCCGCGUGAGUGAAGAAGGUUUUCGGAUCGUAAAGCUCUGUUGUGAGAGAAGAACGAGUGUGAGAGUGGAAAGUUCACACUGUGACGGUAUCUUACCAGAAAGGGACGGCUAACUACGUG
RNAcentral lists this ribosomal RNA (495 nucleotides) under uncultured bacterium. Its description in RNAcentral is "partial 16S ribosomal RNA". It matches the Rfam family "Bacterial small subunit ribosomal RNA", at positions 28 to 507 of the family's 1533-position model. The record is from RNAcentral.